This 696-nucleotide long non-coding RNA is filed under the name Nicotiana tabacum (common tobacco). Its description in RNAcentral is "long non-coding RNA (NTAB_LNC006135)". The record is from RNAcentral. Lineage: Eukaryota; Viridiplantae; Streptophyta; Magnoliopsida; Solanales; Solanaceae.
GAAUCACUUAAUAUUUGUCCCAGACAUCAAAUACGGCAUAAUAAACCAUUGUCACUGCCCCUCCAUGACCAAAUUAUAUAUUUUGGCAUUUUACAACCAUAAAACUGCAAAUCCGCGCGAGUCCCAAAUUUUUGUAUGCUGUAGACCAUGCCUUCCGCCUUGGGCCCGGAUAGAUCCGUUCUGAAAUCGCCUAAUAUUUGUGCCGGACAUCAAAUACGGCAUAAUAAAACCAUUGUCACCACCCCUCCAUGACCAAAUUACAUUUUUUGGAAAUUUUCAGCCAUAAAAAAGGACAUCCGCGCGAGUCCCAAAUUUUUGUGUGCUAUAGCCCAUGCCUUCCGCCUUGGGCCCGAAUGGAUCCGUCUUGGAAACGCCUAAAAUUUGCCCCAGACAUUAAAUACGGCCUAAGAAACCAUUGUCACCGCCCCGAAAUGACCAAAUUAUUUUUUUGGCAUUUUACAGCCAUAAAACUGCAAAUCCGCGCAAAUCCCAAAUUUUUGUGUGCUAUAGCCCAUGCCUUACGCCUUGGGCCCGGAUGGAUCCGUCCUGGAAUCGCCUAAUAUUUGUCCCGGACAUCAAAUACGGCAUAAUAAACCAUUGUCACCGCCCCUCCAUGACAAAAUUACAUUUUUGGCAUUUUACAACCAUAAAACUACAAAUCCUCGCGAGUCCCAAAUUUUUGUAUGCUAUAGACCA